Molecule: ribosomal RNA, 1456 nt
Filed under: uncultured haloarchaeon
Lineage: Archaea; Methanobacteriati; Methanobacteriota; Halobacteria; Halobacteriales; Halobacteriaceae
Description: bacterial SSU rRNA
Rfam family: Archaeal small subunit ribosomal RNA
Source: RNAcentral
UGAUCCUGCCGGAGGCCAUUGCUAUCGGAGUCCGAUUUAGCCAUGCUAGUUGUGCGGGUUUAGACCCGCAGCGGAAAGCUCAGUAACACGUGGCCAAACUACCCUGUGGAUGGGAACAAUCUCGGGAAACUGAGGCUAAUUCCCAAUAACGCUCCGCCCCUGGAACGGGCGGAGCUGGAAACGCUACGGCGCCACAGGAUGUGGCUGCGGUCGAUUAGGUAGACGGUGGGGUAACGGCCCACCGUGCCAAUAAUCGGUACGGGUUGUGAGAGCAAGAGCCCGGAGACGGAAUCUGAGACAAGAUUCCGGGCCCUACGGGGCGCAGCAGGCGCGAAACCUUUACACUAUACGCAAGUGCGAUAAGGGGACUCCGAGUGUGAAGGCAUAGAGCCUUCACUUUUGUACACCGUAAGGUGGUGUACGAAUAAGGGCUGGGCAAGACCGGUGCCAGCCGCCGCGGUAAUACCGGCAGCCCGAGUGAUGGCCGAUAUUAUUGGGCCUAAAGCGCCCGUAGCUGGCCGGACAAGUCCGUUGGGAAAUCUGUUCGCUUAACGAGCAGGCGUCCAGCGGAAACUGUUCGGCUUGGGACCGGAAGACCUGAGGGGUACGUCCGGGGUAGGAGUGAAAUCCUGUAAUCCUGGACGGACCACCGGUGGCGAAAGCGCCUCAGGAGGACGGAUCCGACAGUGAGGGACGAAAGCUAGGGUCUCGAACCGGAUUAGAUACCCGGGUAGUCCUAGCUGUAAACGAUGCCCGCUAGGUGUGGCGCAGGCUACAAGCCUGCGCUGUGCCGUAGGGAAGCCGAGAAGCGGGCCGCCUGGGAAGUACGUCUGCAAGGAUGAAACUUAAAGGAAUUGGCGGGGGAGCACUACAACCGGAGGAGCCUGCGGUUUAAUUGGACUCAACGCCGGACAUCUCACCAGCUCCGACAGUAGUAAUGACGGUCAGGUUGAUGACUUUACCCGAUGCUACUGAGAGGAGGUGCAUGGCCGCCGUCAGCUCGUACCGUGAGGCGUCCUGUUAAGUCAGGCAACGAGCGAGACCCGCACUCCUAAUUGCCAGCAUGUCCCACGUGGAUGAUGGGUACUUUAGGAGGACUGCCGCCGCCAAGGCGGAGGAAGGAACGGGCAACGGUAGGUCAGUAUGCCCCGAAUGGGCUGGGCAACACGCGGGCUACAAUGGCCGAGACAAUGGGUUCCCACUCCGAGAGGAGGCGGUAAUCUCAGAAACUCGGUCGUAGUUCGGAUUGUGGGUUGCAACUCACCCACAUGAAGCUGGAUUCGGUAGUAGUCGCCUUCCAGGAGAGGGCGGCGAAUACGUCCCUGCUCCUUGCACACACCGCCCGUCAAAGCACCCGAGUGGGGUCCGGAUGAGGCCUGCCUAGCAGGUCGAAUCUGGGCUCCGCAAGGGGGCUUAAGUCGUAACAAGGUAGCCGUAGGGGAAUCUGCGGCUGGAU